Molecule: ribosomal RNA, 279 nt
Filed under: uncultured bacterium
Lineage: Bacteria
Description: partial 16S ribosomal RNA
Rfam family: Bacterial small subunit ribosomal RNA
Source: RNAcentral
UGCCAGCCGCCGCGGUAAUACGGAGGGGGUUAGCGUUGUUCGGAAUUACUGGGCGUAAAGCGCACGCAGGCGGUUUGUUAAGCUAGAUGUGAAAGCCCCGCGCUCAACGUGGGAAUAGCAUUUAGAACUGGCAGGCUAGAGUCUUGGAGAGGGGAGUGGAAUUCCAGGUGUAGCGGUGAAAUGCGUAGAUAUCUGGAGGAACAUCAGUGGCGAAGGCGGCUCCCUGGCCAAAGACUGACGCUCAUGUGCGAAAGUGUGGGUAGCGAACAGGAUUAGAUA